Molecule: ribosomal RNA, 476 nt
Filed under: uncultured bacterium
Lineage: Bacteria
Description: SSU rRNA
Rfam family: Bacterial small subunit ribosomal RNA
Source: RNAcentral
AGGAUGAACGCUGGCGGCGUGCCUAACACAUGCAAGUCGAACGUCCUGUCUCGCAAGAGGCAGGGAGUGGCGGACGGGUGAGUACCACGUGGGUCAUCUACCGUGAGGUGAGGAAUACCGGCGAGAAAUCGCCGACAAGACCGCAUAGGCUCGAUGCAAGUCGAGCAAAGCUCUUUCGAGAGAGGGAGCGCCACACGAGGAGCCUGCGCCCGAUUAGCUAGCUGGUGGAGUAACGGUUCACCAGGGCGACGAUCGGUAGCUGGUCUGAGAGGACGAUCAGCCACACUGGGAUUGAGAACGGCCCAGACUCCUACGGGGGGCAGCAGUGAGGAAUUUUCGGCAAUGGGGGCAACCCUGACCGAGCAACGCCGCGUGCAGGAGGAAGGUCUUCGGAUCGUAAACUGCUUUUCUGUGGGAAGAGAACGGACGGUACCACAGGAAGAAGCCCCGGCUAACUACGUGCCAGCAGCCGCGGU